GACGAACGCUGGCGGCGUGGAUUAGGCAUGCAAGUCGAACGGUAUCAUCCUUUCGGGGGUGAGAGAGUGGCGAACUGGUGAGUAACACGUAGGUUAUCUACCCUCAAGACGGGGACAACCCAGGGAAACUUGGGCUAAUACCGGAUGUGAGCAACUUUUUAGUUGUUUGAAAGGUGGCGUAAGCUGUCGCUUGGGGAUGAGCCUGCGUCCUAUUAGUUAGUUGGUGAGGUAACGGCUCACCUAGGCAAUGAUAGGUAGGCGGCCUUAACGGGUGGUCGCCCACACUGGGAUUGAGAUACGGCCCAGACUCCUACGGGAGGCAGCAGUCGAGAAUAGUCUACAAUGGUCGGAAGACUGAUAGUGCGACGCCGCGUGAACGAUGAAUCCCUUCGGGGUGUAAAGUUCUUUUCUAUGUGAGCAGUUCCUUUUAUAUGAAGAGUAUAGAAGGGGGAUUUAAGCAUAGGAAUAAGCAACGGCUAACUCCGUG
Molecule: ribosomal RNA, 487 nt
Filed under: uncultured bacterium
Lineage: Bacteria
Description: bacterial SSU rRNA
Rfam family: Bacterial small subunit ribosomal RNA
Source: RNAcentral